This 433-nucleotide ribosomal RNA is filed under the name uncultured bacterium. Its description in RNAcentral is "partial 16S ribosomal RNA". It matches the Rfam family "Bacterial small subunit ribosomal RNA", at positions 29 to 507 of the family's 1533-position model. The record is from RNAcentral.
AACGAACGCUGGCGGCAGGCCUAACACAUGCCAGUCGAGCGAGGACUUCGGUUCUAGCGGCGGACGGGUGAGUAACGCGUGGGAAUGUGCCCUUCUCUACGGAAUAGCCCUGGGAAACUGGGAGUAAUACCGUAUACGCCCUAUUGGGGAAAGAUUUAUCGGAGAAGGAUCAGCCCGCGUUGGAUUAGGUAGUUGGUGGGGUAAUGGCCUACCAAGCCGACGAUCCAUAGCUGGUUUGAGAGGAUGAUCAGCCACACUGGGACUGAGACACGGCCCAGACUCCUACGGGAGGCAGCAGUGGGGAAUCUUAGACAAUGGGGGCAACCCUGAUCGAGCCAUGCCGCGUGAGCGAUGAAGGCCUUAGGGUUGUAAAGCUCUUUCAGCUGGGAAGAUAAUGACGGUACCAGCAGAAGAAGCCCCGGCUAACUCCGUG